RNAcentral lists this small RNA (190 nucleotides) under Actinacidiphila paucisporea. RNAcentral describes it as "Streptomyces paucisporeus c-di-AMP sequence". It matches the Rfam family "c-di-AMP riboswitch aptamer (ydaO/yuaA leader)". From Rfam's summary of the family: This family represents a conserved RNA structure found upstream of the ydaO and yuaA genes in Bacillus subtilis and related genes in other bacteria. The ydaO/yuaA element is thought to act as a genetic "off" switch for the ydaO and yuaA genes in its native state. The record is from Rfam by way of RNAcentral. Lineage: Bacteria; Bacillati; Actinomycetota; Actinomycetes; Kitasatosporales; Streptomycetaceae.
UCACGGGAACAGUCGAGCAUUCAGGGCAGGAGCGGGGGACCCAGGUAAGCCGCCGUCCGGGAACACCGGACGGCUCGGGGUGAAGCCGUGCCCGCCGCCCGCGCAUCGCACAGCGCGGCGGCGGCGGACCGCGGCCGGGCAUCUCCUGCCCGAACCCGACAGCUCACCUCGCAGGCGUAGGAGAGGAAUU